UACGGAGGAUGCGAGCGUUAAUCCGGAUUUAUUAGGGUUUAAAGGGUGCGUAGGCGGGGAUUUAAGUCAGCGGUGAAAGUUUGAGGCUCAACCUUAAAAUUGCCGUUGAAACUGGGGUUUUCUUGAGUGUAUUUGAAGUAGGCGGAAUUCGUUGUGUAGCGGUGAAAUGCAUAGAUAUAACGAAGAACUCCAAUUGCGCAGGCAGCUUACUAAACUACAACUGACGCUGAAGCACGAAAGCGUGGGUAUCAAACAGG
RNAcentral lists this ribosomal RNA (257 nucleotides) under uncultured bacterium. Its description in RNAcentral is "partial 16S ribosomal RNA". It matches the Rfam family "Bacterial small subunit ribosomal RNA", at positions 524 to 776 of the family's 1533-position model. The record is from RNAcentral.